This 200-nucleotide long non-coding RNA is filed under the name Lathyrus oleraceus (garden pea). Its description in RNAcentral is "Pisum sativum (pea) long non-coding RNA (PSAT_LNC009534)". Lineage: Eukaryota; Viridiplantae; Streptophyta; Magnoliopsida; Fabales; Fabaceae. The record is from RNAcentral.
UUAUUUUGACACAUGUAAUCGGUUACUCCCCCGUGUUAACCGGUUAUAACACUUUAAUUACUCAAAAAACUCUUAACACAACAUCUUAAUUCUUAUGCUCCAAGUCUUCCAUGCCCAUGUUCAUCUUCAAAGUCUUGAACAAAUCAUUUGUGACUCCCUUAGUCAAUAAAUCAACCAUUUGAUCUUCACUUCUACAAUAU